Molecule: unclassified non-coding RNA, 990 nt
Filed under: Hevea brasiliensis (rubber tree)
Lineage: Eukaryota; Viridiplantae; Streptophyta; Magnoliopsida; Malpighiales; Euphorbiaceae
Source: RNAcentral
UGGAGGAGGUUCUGGUGGAGGUGGAGGUGGAGCUGUAGCUGGUGAACAUGGUGGUUAUGCUGGUGGAAGUGGUAGCGGUGAAGGUGGUGGAAGCGGAUAUGGUGCUGGAGGGGCACCAGGAGGUGGUUAUGCAAGUGGAGGUGGUGGAGGUAGCGGUGGCGGUAGCGGUGGAGCUGCUGCUGGUGGAGAACAUGGUGCAGGUGAAGGAGGUGGAAGUGGUGGUGGAUACGGUGCUGGUGGGGCGCCAAGUGGUGGAUAUGGUGGUGGAGGUGGUCAUGGUGGGGGUGGUGGAGGUGGUUCAGCAUCGGGAGGAGCAUCAGGUGGUGGAUAUGGAGGUGGUGAAGGUGCCGGUGGUGGUGCAGGCGGAGCACAUGGAGGUGCAGGAGGAUAUGGCGGUGGUGGUGGCAGUGGAGGUGGAGCCGGUGGUGGUGGAGCAACUGCUGGUGGAGCACAUGGUUCAGGUGAAGGAGGUGGAAGCGGUGGUGGAUACGGUGCUGGUGGAGCACAAAGCGGUGGAGGUGGCCACGGAGGUGGCGGUGGAGGUGGUUCAGCAUCAUCAGGAGGAGCUGGUGGAGCAUCAGGAGGUGGAUACGGAGGUGGUGAAGGUGCUGGUGGUGGUGCAGGAGGAUCUCAUGGAUCAGGAGGAUAUGGUGGCGGUGGUGGUGGUGGAUCCGGUGGUGGAGGAGCGUAUGCGGGCAGUGAAGGUGGUGGACAUGCAAGUGGAUAUGGUAGUGGUGAAGGGGCUGGAUCCGGACAUGGUGGUGGUGGUGGCUAUGCUCCUUGAAAUCUUGUUCUCUUCACAAUUUGCAAACACUAUAUGAUUUCCUAUUCUUAUCUACAAUAUUAUUAAAAAAUAACAUGAUCAAAUUGUGAUAAGAGAUUUAUUGCAUGAAAGCAAAUUAAUAUUGUUGCAGCUCUUAAAGCUAUAUGUUUUUUAAAUUCUAAUGUAAGAAAGAUAUCUAAACAAUGAUGUCUUGCACAAUAUGUUUG